AUUGAACGCUGGCGGCAGGCCUAACACAUGCAAGUCGAGCGAGCGGCGGACGGGUGAGUAAUUUCUGGGAAACUGCCUGAUGGAGGGGGAUAACUACUGGAACCGGUAGCUAAUACCGCAUACCAUCAGAUGUGCCCAGCUGGGAUGAGCUAGUCGGUGGGGUAAUGGCUGACCUAGGCGACGAUCCCUAGCUGGUCUGAGAGGAUGACCAGCCACACUGGAACUGAGACACGGCCCAGACUCCGACGGGAGGCAGCAGUGGGGAAUAUGGCACAAUGGGCGCAAGACUGAUGCAGCCAUGCCGCGUGUGUGAAGAAGGCGUUCGGGUUGUAAAGCACUUUCAGCGGGGAGGCGUUACUCGAAGAAGAAGCACCGGCUAACUCCGUGCCAGCAGCCGCGGUAAUAC
Molecule: ribosomal RNA, 406 nt
Filed under: uncultured bacterium
Lineage: Bacteria
Description: partial 16S ribosomal RNA
Rfam family: Bacterial small subunit ribosomal RNA
Source: RNAcentral